Molecule: long non-coding RNA, 1767 nt
Organism: Cyprinus carpio carpio
Lineage: Eukaryota; Metazoa; Chordata; Actinopteri; Cypriniformes; Cyprinidae
Source: Ensembl
AUUGACUGCCAUUUGUAUAACGACAGUUUUACUACAAAUAGGCUACCACAUUAAACUAUGGAGUGUACCAUGGUUAAUUUAUGAUUACCAUGUGAGUACAAUAAUCAUGUUUUUUUGGUUUUAUUUGUAGCCUACCAUGGUUAAUGUCGUAAUUAAGGGAGCAAGUACUGUCAUGUUUUUUCGGGGUGUUUUAGUUAAAAAUUAAUCCUCCAGUCAUUUUAAAUCUGUAGGCUAGUUUAAAUUGAUCCGAACUGAAUGAAUCUAAACGAGUCUUUUGAACAGAAUCGCAAAAUUUGAGUGAGUUAAUGAAAUAAAAUCCACACUAUUCGCGGUAAUGCUGUAUCUCGGGGUUUGGUAAUAGAGGUAAUGAACAGUAAUAUAUCAAGCACUGACAUUCCAGGCCUCGCAUUUAGAGCUGAUUCACACGAGACUCGCAAUUCUUGAUGCCCGUGAAUCGAAUCUUUUUGGAAUCGACUCACUGUCCUUAUCCCUCCCGCCGUAGCUGUUGUUUGAAUUUGCGCUGGCGUGCUGACAGGAGAGCUUGUGUUCUGAGGGGCUACUGGCUGACAGCGUCCGGUAAUUUCUGAGAGAUUAAACUCAGAUGAAGGUAAGUGUGAAUAUAUAAAACCAUUUUGAAAAAAAAACAUGUUUACAAGAACAUAACAUUAAAAGUUGUUUGAAUUUGUAAUAUUUUUAAUCUGUAUUUUUAGCAUAACUUUGUUUGAGCUGUUUAUUCCCGCUUCAAGUGCUUUGCUGUUGCGCGCGCUGAUUUUCUGAGAGAUUUACAUCUGACGAAGGUUAGUAUAAAUACAUAAAACCUUUUAAAUAACAUGUUUAUCCGAACAUAACAUUACAAAUUCUACAAUGUUGUAUAAUUUCUUUCAAACUUUAACCCAGUGUUGUUUUGAGCCAUUUGUUCCCACUUCAGCGGCCUUCAUCAGAAGUAAAGUCUCCAAACACUGCAGCUGACUUCUGAUUCACUAUAUAUCACCGCAUUUCUCACCUCCAUUCCCAGACGACAGCAGGCCAAAUAUGCUUAUUCUCUCUAUUAUAUAUACACGUGACCUUGUGAAUUGCUGUAUAGUUCAGCUAACAAAAUAGCUGCCUGUUUUCAUUACAUUUGUGUUAUAAUGUUACGUUUCAUCAUACUAACUUGUGUUUAAACAAUGAAAACUGUAAAAUGUAUUUAGAGAUGUGUAUUAAUGUAAUGUAUUAAGUGUUUUAUUAUAUUUUUACAGGAUCCUCUGUUCCCAAACCCAACAAUUCAUCUGAAGGAUGAAGGAAAAUAUGAACCCUUUGAACCACUGGUGACAGUUUCCACAUGAUAAAUAGAAAGGACAUGGCAGAGGAUGAUGGGUUUGAAUGGCCGCUUUUCUUCAGAAAAAUCUUCCAGAUCCUUCACUUUCUCAGGUUUUCCAGCAUCUUUUGCAUAUUUGAACCCUUUCUAGCAAUGAAUGUAUGAUUUCAGAUCCAUUUUUUUUUACACUGAGGACAGUUGAGGGACUCAUACACAACUAUUUCAAAAGGUAAACGUAUUUAUUGAUUUUCAAGAAAGUAACAAUUUAUUAAGAGAGACAGGGUGUGAACUACUUGAAUUGGAUGAUCAGGGAAAAGUUUUUUUUUUUUUGAAAAUAAGCAUAAAAAAGGUAUUUUAUAUAGCUUCUGAAGGACAGUACUAAAUGAACAGAUAUGAUCUUUAAACAAAACAAGAAAAAUUUACUCAUCAUCCUGUUCAAAAUGUACACCCCAACUCUUAAUCGCAGGGAU